Molecule: long non-coding RNA, 261 nt
Filed under: Solanum tuberosum (potato)
Lineage: Eukaryota; Viridiplantae; Streptophyta; Magnoliopsida; Solanales; Solanaceae
Description: long non-coding RNA (STUB_LNC004824)
Source: RNAcentral
CAUACAUAGCUUCUCGUGGUAAAUGUAUAGCCAAAUGUACCAUAAUAUAAAAAAAACAGGUGGAAAGAUCAUCUCAAGCUUACAUAAUAUAAUAACUAUAUCCCUUUCAAGUUGUUCUAAGUCAUCUCGUUUCAAUGUCUUACAACACAAUCGUUGAAAGAAAUGACCUAACUCAAUCAAUGCUAAAGAGACAUCUUUAUUUCCAAAUCCACGAAUAGCUAUAGGUAGCAAUCGUUGUAGCAAAACAUGAUAAUCAUGACU